Molecule: RNA transcript, 6906 nt
Organism: Camellia sinensis
Lineage: Eukaryota; Viridiplantae; Streptophyta; Magnoliopsida; Ericales; Theaceae
Gene name: tRNA-splicing endonuclease subunit SEN54
Source: RefSeq, a predicted model, not a curated record
AAAAAUAACCUUUAGCAUAGCGCCACCAUCUUCCUUGAACUAACCUACUCCGGGCCACCCUCCCCUGCCGCUGCCAGCCCCCUACCCGACCACCCCACGCCGCCGUCUGCAACCCAUCCAUCCCCAAGAGAGGUAGUUUGAUUCUGUCUGAUUUUGAUGACCUCAAAAUCAUCAAAAUCCAAUUUUUUGACUCUAGGCAAGAUUGGUACUUGGCGAUAGUGCUGCAAAAGUGCGUUUUCAGUACAGAACAGAGAAUCAAGAUAGCAUCACUGCAAUCAGGUUAUGGGAUUUGAAUCUUCCAUUUAUUGUUGAUAAGUUAUUUGACAAAUAUUAGUGGGAUGGAGGUUGAGGAAUGGGCAAGUUCUUCAGGUGGAACAAGUGAUUCUGAGGUCUGUGUGCCGGACACGAAUGAUGAAGAACAUUACUUUACAUCUGGUGAUACACCCAAGUUGCAGUUUAGGAAAAAUAUUUCAAGGGCCCAUUGGGAUGAUGAGAUGGGAAUGGCUGAGGUUGUUGGGAAGAAGGGUAGCAUGUGGACAACAAUAGGAAUAGUUCGCAGCAGCAAGAUCUAUUGCUCAAUUGAAGAGACUCUGUUUUUGGCUGAAAGAGGUGAACUAAGUCUCUUAGAUGCUGAUGAUAGAUCAGUUCCCUUAAAAGAUAUAUAUAAGAAGGUUGCAGAAGGAAAGAGCGGAUGUUGUUGGGAGUCAUUUGAAGUCUACAGGCACUUGAGGUCACUGGGAUACAUUGUUGGGCGUCAUGGUAUCCCUUGGACUGUGAAGAGUAUUAAGAAUAAGCCUCCUUCUGUUGAAGGCACACUGGAGAUUGAACUGAUAAUAGAUCAGAAAUUUGAAGACCUAAAUCUCGUCAACGAGCUUUUCAAUAAUAUAAGGAUUGAUGAAGUCAGACCUGUAUUUGAUGUUUACCCUCCUAAUAGCAAAUUUAGAAAGUCCUCUCCUGGCAAUCCAAGUUUCGUUCUCUGCAUGACCAGUGGGCAUCCGCCAUCCAAGCCAGAGAUUGAAGACCUUGAGAGACAGUGUAAUGGCAUUCCUUUGAAGUUCUGUCAUGUUGAGUAUGGACGUGUCAGUUUCUUCUCCUUUAACAGGGUGGAGCUCCCUGUCCUUCCUUGACAUUCCUGUUAUGCUGGAGUUACACAUUGUUGUGAUUUGUCUGGACUUCAAUCCAAUGCAAGGAAAGUUGAUUCAUCCCACUUCAAUAAAUGAAUCUAUCUGGUUAUGUGAGCAAUGAAUGAAUCCAAUUCCAUGCGAGAUACUCCACCUUCCUCCACUGCCUGCUGGGUGGCACCACCCAGUUCCUCCGCCCUCUUCCUCAUCUCCUCCCCUUCUGUUGAUGUGAUUAGCCUUUUGGCAGCUUUUGCAAUGGUUGAUGAAGCCACCACCUCCUGGUGUGCUGCACGUUGCUUAACAACCACACCAACUUUUAAUAUGUCUGUUACCAGAACUGCGUUCUUGGGUUGAUCCGAGUGCAUCGGCCAGGCUGCUAUCGGCACUCCCAUGAUGAUGCCCUCCAGGCAUGAAUUCCAUCCACAGUGACUCAUGAACCCACCUGUUGAUUGGUGUGCCAAAAUUUCAAGUUGAGGUGGGUGCCCAAUCUCUCACCACCAGUCCAACUUCUUUAACUCUCUCUCCAUAACCUUCUGGUAGUGCUUCAGCUCUCUUGACAUUGCCUGCAAAAAUGUCUCCUUUAUUGGCAUCUCUAAACACUCAAAUGAACUUUUGUCCACUCUGUUCCAGCCCCAUUGCGAGCUCUUUGAUCCGUUGAUCUGUCAUCGAAGUUGUUGUUCCAAAUGAAACAUAUAACACAGAAUAUGGGGCUUGUUUGUCAAGCCAAUCCAAACAUCUGUGUUGCCUAUUUGAGUUUUUGCUGCCAUUUACUCUUCUCGAGGUCAAUGGCCCAAUCGCCCAUAGCUGCUUGUCUUCACGAAUCUGUACCUUCUUCAAUAAAUCAAUGUAAGUAUCUUCGAUUGAUCUGCACGAGUUCAUGGUAGAUCCGGAUGUAAAUUUCAGAAAAUUAAUUUGGAGGGUGAUAAAAUCUAGAAUCUCGGAAGGGUAACAGACUUCAAUAGAUGGUAACCCCUGUGGUUCAUCUACCUGGAAUGAGUUUCCCAUCAUUUGCCAUCCUUCAAAGAAACAAGCGAACGCACUAAUGGUGGUGAAAGAAUAGGAUUCUGAAUUUGGUGUGGUAGUGAUGUCCGGGACCACAUAAGCCAUGAGGGCAUCGUGGACAACUAUAACUUUUCUAGCCGUGGAAAAUUUUGUGUAAGAGUUCGGUCAUGGGGUCACGGAGAUGCAAAGAUGCUUCGAAGGAUGGUUGGAGAUGUGAUGGAAAUUUACACAGGGUGUUGGGGUUGGGUGGAGGAGAGAGGAAAGGAGGGGUAGGGAACCCAUGGAAAUUGAUUUGGGCAAAGGAAAGGCGGUUUGUGCCAUUGAAGCGAAGUUUAGCCUGGUGGACGUGGGUGGCGGAGCAGGCGUAGUGGGCAGGGAUGUUGUAGGAGGAGAUUAGGCAGGAGAGCUGGAGGAGCUGGUUGAGGUGGCUUUGGCAUGGAAAAGGCACCAUGAUUACGACCACUUGAGCUUGUUUGGUGUCAUGGCUUGGCUGUUGGUCAUGAACAUCCAUGGAUGAUUAAAAUUUCUGAAAGAGUGGUUCUCAAUCUCCUCUCUGUUUGAAAUGAGUUGGUUCUUUAUAUACGAAUUUGCAAUCAGAACCGGCACAAAAAUGACACAGAACACUCAUAGAGGUCCAUGCUUAGUGUCCUACGAUGUUUCUGUGGCACGAUUUCUGUGUUCAUCCUCUGUACAUACAAAGUUGAAGAUGAUGUCUUAUCCAUGAUUCAUAUUCAACGAAGUUCACUCUUUUCUACAGGCAGCUCAUUUCUUUGUCUGAAAAUAAUUUCGUAAGCAGUUAUGUGUGCACAGAAAAGUACAUAAAAAAAAAGGGGAUCGGAAUCAGAGAACUUUUGAAUGAGAUCUCUCAGAUUGGAUCCAAUGAGGUGUCAGAACAUCACCAAAAUCAAAUUCAAAGGUUUGCCAUUUCUUCUUUACUGCAAUGUUUGAUUCUUUAGUAGCUUUUCCAUUUCAUUUUUUUUUUUUGGGUUGUGUACUAGCAAGCAGUUAACAACGGACUAACUAAAUGAUAUUAUUAUUUUGUCUUAGAUCAAUCAUAUCAAAAAAUUUGUGCUUUCAAUUUGCUGAUUUCACACUUCUUUCACUAAAAUAUUAGCAAGUAGGUGUAUGUCAUUUGGCAUCAUCAUUCUUUCUUUUUUUCCUUCUAGAAAUUGAAAAGUGAUUUGUGAUGUUUAAAUUGUCUCCUUAUUUUGGUAGAUGAUGUUUUUACUUCUUUUGUUGAGGACAUCUUGUCCUCUUUGUACUCUUCCUUUUUAUUUUUUUUAUUUUUUUAUUUAUAAAUAAAAGUUUCUUUUGUUGCUGAUCAAAUUAAAAAAAUAAAAUAAAAUUCUUCUUAGACUUGUUCGAGUGGCCAGAACCCAAAACAGAGGCAAACUCAUAUGAAUUCUAUUUUUCAGUUUUCUUUCUUGUUUUUAUGGGUAUAUUACAUAUGAUGCCGGUAUCAAGGUGUAAUUAUAUUGGCCAAAUUACUUUAUUUAUAUUCCUAAAGAGGGAGAUUUUAUUGGACACACUAUCAUUCAACUAUACGAACUAGAACUGAUAUGUGAAAAUUGUUAGAGCCUACCACACAAUAAAUAGGGAUUUUUGUGAUAGAUCUCUCUUAAUUAGUUUUUCCGUGUGAAGGAUGGUGCCCGCACAACGCACAUGACAUUUAGAAAAAUACCCUUGUUUGCUAAAUUUAGUUUUCAAACUUUAAAAUGUCCUUACUUUUUUGAAAAAGUAGUUUUUUUUUAAAAUCAUCUUGUCAACAUUUAUCAAACAUGACCUAUGGUGAAUAUGAAAUUAUAUAAAUAAUUGACAAAAUUUCACUGCUCUUUGUUUUCUGACAAUAAAACUUCACUAUACAAAACUCGUGACGUGAUCCGUGAGUAAACUAUAGUCAAUUUAAUUGUAUAAUUACGUUGGGAUCAAUUUUCUUGAUGUAGUGGUUCGACAUUUUUAUAGUCUACUGCUCCUGUUAGAAAAUGAUCAUAUGAUACUUCCAACUAAUUGCUAUUUUUUUAUACUUAAUUUGCCUUCUUCCCAAUGAAAACUUGUUUAAAAUUAUGGCGUUAAGACAAAUCUUCAAUGUUGUAGCAACCCUAAAGACUGUUUUAUAAUGUACUCCUAGGAACCACAAUAUUGAACAAAAGCUCAGAAACCAUGAUAAUAAAAAUCCUCCCCAGAGCACCUAAAUCAAUGAUAAUAAGCAUAUAUUUUUAUGUACUAAGGCCUAGUUUGGGAAGACUAAAUAAGUGCACUUUUUGACUUUUUAUGAAAUAUGGGUUGGGUUUGGGUUGGGUUUGAAGUGAUGUGUUAGAGAAGUGAUGUGACUUAAAUAAGAUGAUGUGACUUAAAUAGGAUAAUGAUUUUUUUACUUUUUGUCUUUUUUCAAUCAUGCCAAACUUGGCCUAAUUAUUUUUCUGGUAAGCAUAUCUCUGUAGAUAUUUGUACAAGUAGCUAUUUUUAAAUCAGUCAUGCAUAUACUUAUGGGUACAUUAAUUUUGUAUACUACAUUGAUUUGGUGGUUGGUAUUUUUUUGUUUUCUUUCUGAGGAACAUUUAUUAUUUUGUAUUUGCUCAGAUAUGAAACCCUUAUUUCAAAAAGAAGUGAUGAGUUAAGUUCACUCUAACUUCGAAGAAUAUAUCUGGCAAGCACUUAUCAAUGUUUUGAAAUAUGUAGGAGCUUCACACUGGAAAUUUUACCAAACGAUGUGACAAUAGUAUUUUGAAGAUUAUAAGUCAUAAUAGUGAGUGUUUUGGUUUGAAAUAAGGAUCACAACACUUCGUACAAAAAUUAUGUUGGCAUAACACCAUCCUGAAUAAUACAAUACAUUAGCUUUCAGCUACACGAUCGUGUCUUGAGAUUUCUAUAUUUUGAGAUUCCCACUCUGUUAUACGGUUGGGAGUGCAUUGGGUACUAUAUUAGAUACAGAGGAUCUUGGCUUUUUGGAACAAUUGGGUUGAACGGAAUAUACGAUCUUAUAGGUGCUUUAUAUUUGCUUUAAAUGGUAGUAAAUUUUGCCAUGCAGACAAAGCAGAUUGCAGAAUGAGUUGUUCACUCAUUGUACACAGACAAAGAAAGAACACAAGAAUGUGAAUUAUAGCACUUGACUAUGCUUCUGUCAUAUCUAGUAAUAUGAUUUUGUUGAUCAAUUACUUAUUUUUAGAUUGUUGUGAUUCUGGAGAAGUUCUGAGCCACAUACCAAUGCAAGGAAAUCCAAUUCAUCCAGCGUCAAUAAACAAACCUACCUAGUUAUGUGAAAAAUGAAUGAAUCCAAAUUCCAUGCGAGAAAUGCCACCUUUGUCCAUUGCCUGCCAGGCGUCACCAACCAGUUCCUCCGCCUUUUUCCUCAUCUCCUCCCCUUCUCUUGAUGCUAUUAACCUUUUGACAACUCUUGCCAUGGCUGAUGAAGCCACUAUCUCCUUCUGGUUUGCCUCCCAUUGCUUAGCAACCAAACCAGCCUUCAAUAUCUCUGUUACCAGAAAUGCAUUCUUGGGUUGAUCUGAGUGCAUCGGCCAGGCCGCUAUCGGCACUCCCGGGGUGAUGCUCUCCAGGCAUGAAUUCCAUCUACAGUGACUUAUGAACCAGCCUGUCGAUGGGUGAGCUAAAAUUUCAACUUGAGGUGCCCAAUCUCUCACCAGUAGUCCAAUUCCUUUCACUUUUUCUUCAUAACAUUGUGGCAGUGCUUUAGCUCUCUUGACAUUGCCUGCGAAAUCUCCUUAUCGGCAUCUCUCAACACCCAGAUGAACUUUUGUCUGCUUUGUUAUUGCAAGCUCUUUAAUCUGCUGAUCUGUCAUUGAAGUUGUUCCAAAUGAAGCACAUUACAUGGAUUUUGGGGCUAGUUUAUCAAGCCAAAUCAAACAUUUGUGUUGGCUAUUUGAGUUGUUGGCUGUUUGAGUUGUUUUCUCCAAUAUGUUCCCUUUUCAUUAAAUCAAUGCAAGUACCUUUGAUUGUUCUGCAUGAGUUCAUGCCAGUUCCAGAUGUAAAUUUCUGAAAAUCAGAUUGGAGGGUUAUGAAAUUUAGGAUCUCAGAAGUAAGUGAACGUGCAACCGGGGUUGAAAGUGUAGGUUUCAGCAUUUGGUACUCUUGAACCACAUAAGCCAUGAGAAAGUCAUGGACGACGAUAACUCUUCUUGCCGUGGGGGAGAUUUUGUGCAAGAGUUCAGCCAUGGCGUCACGGAGAUGCAAAGUGGUUUCGAAGGAUGGUAGGAUAUGUGAUGCAAAUUGACUUGAGGCAUUGGGUGGAGGAGAGAGGAAAGGAGGGGUAGGGAACUCAUGGCAAUGGAUUUGGGCAAAAGCAUGACUGUUUAUGCCAUUGAAGCAGAGUUUGGCCUGGUGGAUGUGGGUGGGGGAGCAAGCAUAGUGGACCGGGAUGUUGUAGGAGGAGCUGGUUGAGGUGGCUCUGCAAUGGAAAAGACGCCAUGAUUACUACCACUUGAGCUUGUUUGGAGCUGCUCAUUAGGUCAUGGCUUGGAUGUUGGUAAUGAAUAUCCAUGGAUUAAAUUUUUUGAAAGUGUUCCCCCAGUCACCAAUCUGUUGGGUCUCGGAGUAGGUUUUUUAUAGCAUGAAAAAUAGAAUCAUAAUCUUUCUAGGAUUUGUGAUAGGAACACAAAAACUGUCACAAAAAGGACACAAACUCAGGUAUGCGGGUGUGCCGUUUCUAUUGCACAAAUGCUGUAUCCAAUAUUUCUAUGGAAUCUUCUUUUUAUCGUUAUUUUUAUUCAGAUAUUGAAUAAUGACAAUUCAAUAUUUGCUUUUAUUUUUAUGUUUUUCUGUCUCUUUC